UUGUGUGAAGGCGAAAAAUUAAACAUAAAUUUACUUUUUGGAAAUGUGUAACCUCUGAUUUAUUAUUUCCUGAUGACUCCUUUUAUGUUUUUCUGUUUUCCUUCUUUUUUUUUUUGUUUUUGUUAAAUGGGAUAAGAUGAAGAACAAAAUUAUAUCCUUGUCAGACUUUUCAAUUGUGUGCAAAAAAAAAGUUUUGUUAAAAAUUUUAGACUUAUACACUUUGGAAGGAAGAUUAAUUUAUUAUCUUCAAAAGUAUUAUUGUUUCAUUAAUUGAAGAAAGCAAUAAAUCAAAAGACUGGCAGUAAAAUUAGAGAUGGAGUUGGCGCGUUCGGAAUUUUUGUUGUAAAAAAGGGGCAAAAGUCACAAACUAAAACAAAAUUCUAAUUUAAACGAUAAACAAAGGUUCUUAAACUAAAAGCCGGAUACAUUUUACCUAAAUGUCUAUAACCAGCAGACUAGAAAGACUCUCCUAAUGUUACCUCAUUUGUCAAAUUAGGGUAAGGUGGUAUUAGAGUGCGCAUUUUAGACAAAACACCAAAUAAAACAAUAACAAAAAGAA
Molecule: long non-coding RNA, 559 nt
Organism: Episyrphus balteatus (marmalade hoverfly)
Lineage: Eukaryota; Metazoa; Arthropoda; Insecta; Diptera; Syrphidae
Exons: 2
Source: RefSeq, a predicted model, not a curated record